UACGUACUUCCUCCGUUUAACAGAAAAUGUCUCAAAUUUGACUAAAUUUGGAUGCAUCUAUACACUAAGUCAUGUCUAGAUACAUCUAAAUUUUGUCAAACUUGAGACGUUUAUUGGACGGAGGGAAUACUAU
Non-coding RNA from Brachypodium distachyon (stiff brome), 133 nucleotides. The record is from Rfam. Lineage: Eukaryota; Viridiplantae; Streptophyta; Magnoliopsida; Poales; Poaceae.